UCAAUCCCUCCAGCCGUCGCUGCCCCUCCCACAUCUCUCCUCCAUCCCCCUCCUCUCUCUCUCCUCUCCUUCCACCUCGUCCGCGAGCCCAUCACCCAGCGCUCGCGCGCUUGCCUCCCGGACCAGCCCGCCACCGCGCCGCUAGGGUUCGUCUGCCGCGGAUUUCCACGGGGAAGGAGCAGCGACGGGGGUAGGCUCUAAGCGGCGCGCACUUCAUGGGGAGGCAAGGAACAAGGAGGUGACGGGGUCGGAUCUGGCGGUGGUAGGUCAGAGCUCGAGCUCGAGGCCGAGAUGGGGAAGGUAAAAAAUAGAGACUGGAUGGAGAUGCUCGAGGCGGAGGACCGCCCGUCGGCGAGCUCGAGCUGGAGACGCACAAUUAGCGUCACCGGCCAUUGGAUGGGUUGGAGCACGAGGCAGAAUUAGCGUCACCGGCCAUUGGAUGGGUUGGAGCACGAGGCAGCGCUCCUGUCGCUAUGUGGUGGAGCCGCGCAGGAGGGUGAGGAGGUUGGCGACAGGGAACCGGGCCGGGGAGGAGGCAAGUGAGCUGGGAGCCGGGGUCAUCCCUCUCACUACCAGUCGAACAUACUACGUCAGCCACCAUGUCGAGCGAUAUAAAAGUGUUCUCUAUUUCAUAGAGCAACAACACGAGAUUGUGCCCCCUCUUGCUCCUGGUGCAUGUUGCUGCCCUCCUUUCUCCUCUUAUUUCACUUGCUUUACAUUGUGUGAAGUUGUUUACUUUCAACUUUACAAAGCUAUAUCAAGUUCGCAACUGUAUUUGGCUACACCUAUAACAUAAUGCAUUUCUCUUCCAGUUUAUUGAAUAUAUUUUUAAGGAUUGAAUGUUCUGUCUGGUACUGUCCUAUCACACAUUUAACUAUCUUAAUUUGUUCACAAAACUCCUUCUGUAGUUAAGAUUUGAUUGUACAACACGUACUAAUUAUUGGUCUUAUUCUUAAAUCUUAUUUCACGCUAUUCAGCUGCAGGCUGGGUUAAGAUUGUUUUUGUGCCAGAAACAGACUAGGCAAUGCUCUAACUUGGCAGCAAAAAAUGUCUAAAUUUCAUAAAUAAGGUCGUGGAAUAUCUUUGAAUAAGUUCAUUUGAAUAUCUUGAGUUGACCUGUAUGGGUUGCUUCUGUGCACACUUUCUUUGAUAUGAAUUUCUAGGAGAGAAAUUCUUUCAUGGUAAUGAUGUAUUAUCAAUAUUUACUUUGUUCUUGGCCUAUAGGUUUCUUUUUGUGGGAUGCAAUUAUGGUACCAUAUGAAUAUGAUCCUUGAGUUGCAUAUUAUUGCCCUUUUGGACAUAGACAUGUGCCAUGUAGUACAACAUUUAUAAAGCAUGUAUUGGAAAUUGUAAGUAGAUGAUUACGGUUACCCUGUAAUUUGAGGAGUAAGAUAUAUAUGGUGAUAGAAUCUAGAGAUACUUGUUAAUCUAUAACAAUGAGAUCCAGUCACGUGCAAUAUUUUUAUUCACAGAAACAGGGAAUCAAUCUGGCUGAAAGUAGUCAUCUUAUGGCGUGGCAUGAAGAGAUGUGUGCAGAUCUGAGAAAGAAGAGGAAUAAUCCAGCAGAAGAAUUUGGUGAAUAAGAACAAGUUGGCAUUUCUCUCUUGUGAACACAGUCAUGCCUGCCUUUUGAUUUUAUUAUUUGUGCUAAUGCAAACAUGAAUUCUCUAUAGUUCUUUGCGCAGCACUGCUAAUUACUCAAUCUGCAAUACAUAAUUAUUUCUGUGAGAAGUUUAGUGCAUGACUUAGCAUUCUGUAAAGUCUGUCUAAGCUCCUGUCUCUAGGCCUAAAUAGAUUUCUCAAUAUCAUUUUUGUUUAAACACUGAACAACAUUGCCAGGUCAACCAUUUCUCAUGUCUUUGUCAUAUAUAUAGGUAUUGUGGUGUCUAAAUUUUGUCACCAGCCUCUUUCACCGACCCAUAAACUAUCUGUCUCGAGGUUUCCCCAUCUAUAUUUGGGUUUCGAAAAACAAAGAACUUUUUUUGGACUUAUUUUGCAUUAGCUACUUUGUAGGUAUUAUGUGCGUUGUCAGGGAUCUGAUAUCAUGUAGUUCCAGGGAUUUCAGAAGGUAUGGUCAGUCCAUUGUUUUUGCCAUGUGUUACUUUUUCUCAUUACUGUGAUCAUCAGUGCUCUUGACAUCUGUUGUUCUUGCUUUAUGAUUGUCUUCCCAGUGCACUUUUAUUAGUUCUAACAUAUUAAUUUUAAUAUGCUUGAUUGACCAUAUUAUAUAUUUCACUUCACCGGGGUGGUGGCUAGAAGUGUUGGUUAAAGUAUUUUGGUUAAAACAUUGUCUCUAAUUAUCAAGUUUAUACAGUUGAAUCUUCUUGAUUGACUAUUUUGUAGCCUGCUCUUAGUUAGUAUUAAUUCUUAAAACUGGAUCUCUUAAAAUUAGUUAAAUUUAUGAGUUGUUUCACUGUUUUCAAAUAAGUAGCUUCAGCCCUCACUGUGUCCUGAAGAUUAUUCUUACUGCCUUUUUAUGAUUGCUUUAUGCUUUAACAAGCUUAAAUAUAACUAUUGGCAUAUAAUCUCAUGGCUUAAAAUCUUAGUUGAGAAUGUAUUAAAAGUUAUAAGAUCUGGAGUUUGCACUAUAUUUCAUCCAGCGGUAUUCCGAGUAACUGAAUGUUAAGAGCAUAGACGAUCAUAGGUUGUACAUUUCAGUUACGGGGAAAUGCUUUUAUCUUGCAGGCUAAUUUUACAUUUACUUUUUCAAUAAUGAGAUGACUAUGUACAGAGUGUCAAGUUUUUUGCCUUGGCAUUACUGCCGCUGUGUACAGAUGGUUACUGAAAGAAGAAGGAUUCAAGCAGCAUACCUUCACUUGACAGAUGCUUUAACCGCAAGAACUGAUGUUAUUUUCUUUUGCUUUUCUGCAAUGAUGGUAGUUCUCAUUUGAUUCUAGAACCUGCAAAGGAAGGGUAGAGAUUUCCAUUGUUGUUGAAUUGGUGGGAUUGUCACCAAGUUAGUGUUGCAGGUUGUUUCUGUUUUAGAGCAAGAAGCCAAAUCAUGUUGUUCAUUGUAAAUCUUGAAAAACUUGUUUACUGUCGCGUCUAUAUCCAUUAUAAACUUUCAUUCCUAGUGUGGUA
Molecule: long non-coding RNA, 3081 nt
Organism: Triticum dicoccoides
Lineage: Eukaryota; Viridiplantae; Streptophyta; Magnoliopsida; Poales; Poaceae
Exons: 4
Source: RefSeq, a predicted model, not a curated record